This is a non-coding RNA of Nothobranchius furzeri (turquoise killifish), 2430 nucleotides long. The record is from RefSeq and is a predicted model, not a curated record. Lineage: Eukaryota; Metazoa; Chordata; Actinopteri; Cyprinodontiformes; Nothobranchiidae.
ACAAAAAUUCAGCCCGGGCAUUUUGACUGGAGACCGGCCCAUCACCUGUUUUUUUUGGAAAAGACAUUAAGCCUUACGCUGUUUCUGACACACACCUACGUACACUUUCUUAUUGGUAGUAUUUAUGUAUCAAUCUAAUAAACGUAAACCUACACCAUCCUUCCUAUCCUGGUAUUCUAAAAAGUAGGGUUGGGGGUAACUGAUUAUUUUUAAAAUGAUUAUUCUGACGAUUAUUUUAUCGAAUAGUCGACUAUUCUAAUGACUAUUUAGAUAAUUAAUCUAGCGAUUACUUUUCUAUUGCACAAUUACUAAAAACCAAAAAAUUCUCAAAUAAAUUCCUCCAAAAAAUUGAUAAGUUGUUACUGUAAGAGAAUAAACACUACAGGCCUUCCAUUUUGUAUAACACUGCUUUUAUUGUGUUGCGGUUGUUUAUGUUCUGGUGACGUGUAGAACUUGGGAGUGCAGGCUGCUGCCUGAGAGGUGGUUGGAGACGGAGUGUCUCCAUGCUGCUUUGUUUUGGUCACUUAUGUGCGUGAGGCAAGUGGUGUUACGACCCUUCCUGGGGAGUCACGUGUUUCUCCUAUUUUAACUGUAAAUCCUUCUAGCUGUUAUAACAAGAAACAGAUAUUCGGACGGAAUAUUUUCAUGUUUAUUCGAAUAUGAUUGUGGAACACACCCAGCAUCAUAAUAAAUGAAGUAAUGUUUAUGCCAAUUUAAGCCUUUAUGGGUGACCAGGACUCUGUGUUUAUGAAUGUGGAAGACACCCAGCAUCCUGUGAUGGCACUAAUAACAUCAAGAGAUAAUAAAUAAAGUAAUAUUUAGGUAAAUGUAACCCUUUACACGUGACCAGGACACUGUAAUCAAUUUUUGGCAAGGGAAAUUAUUUUCUUUUUUUUUUCUUUUUUUCUGUGCCAUUUUUGGGGUGUUUAUGAUGAUACAGUAGGCAGUAUGAGUACAGUAACAUCAACAGAUAAAACAUAAAACCCUUAUUUGGUCAAUUUUAGCCUCCAUGAAAAUCUUAGCAAUUCAAUCACUUUUUGGCAAGUAAAAUGCCAUUUUAGUUGUCUACAAUUAAAUCAUCAAUAAAGAAUUUAAAGAUAUUUUGAGGCAUUUCUUAUAGGUAAACGGGAGGGUGUAGUCUAUUUGGCAAGUGACAAUCUUAAUUUUAUGUGCUGAAGUGCUUUUAUCUUGUUACUUUUAAAUAGAGCAACGUAAUGUAUAGAUAGUAACCUACACAGUGUCAUUAAAGCCAAAGCUUGAUCAUUUUAAAUACUUUUUUUCAAGUAAAAAUGUGCCCCAAACUAGUUAACUGUGGCUCCAUGUCAAGUGGACUAAAGAAAGGAAGGGGAAAAAAAUUAAAUCGCUGGAGAAUUGUUUAUUUCCAUUUAUACAACGUUUACAUUCAAUACAGGGUGCCAUUUUACAUUGUUUAUUUAUUUUUUUAGUAUCAAGGCUGUAACAUAAAGAAAGCCAGUUCUUAUCACAAAGUUUGUGGCACAAACCAUCUUUCAAUCGCAAAUAUUGCAAAAAGGAUUAAUAUAUCCUCAUUGUGAACGUUUAAGACAAAUAGCAACACUUAAAACAACUUCCGAACUGGAAAAACUAAUGUGGCAAGGUGCAGAAACGAGUGCCGGGCGGGAUUCGAUCCCCAGACUCCCGAGUGAGAGUCAUACGCUCUAACCAGUCAGCCAAAGGAAGCAUCUCCUUAACCAAGCAGCCAGGGCACAUCAUCAAUCGGGACAUUGUGGAUGCUCACACUGCCACAUCUUCCUCCCUCUUUCCACAAGCACGUCCUCGUGCUCCCGCGCAGGGUGCCACAAACACUGCCACACUAAUAUCCGCGAUAAACAUCUGUUUAAGUACCGGAAGAGGUUAUCUUUGCUUUCUGAAUGUCCAUAUUGCUAGAUAUGCUGAGUUUUAGGGCGAAAUCCUGGGGAAUUUUGUCUAGAAAUGCAAUUACCUAACCGUGCGCGAUCCCGCGGUGGCUAAUCAUUUUUUGGCAGCGAGUCAAUUUAUGGCACAACACCGGCUCGGGUUUCUCCUCCUCCUCCCUCUUUUCUUCUCCAACCUGUCGCUGGGCUGAGGCUCCAUCACUUCCUAAAUUGAUUUUACUUGAACCUUCACUACCAAACAACUGUGAGAUUUUAACACAUGUGCCAGCAUCAGCCAGCCUGAAGGGCCAGUUUCUUUUUUAGUCGAAUUUUCUCCGCUCCUCCUUUCCGUUUUUUGUUCUCCAUUUUGUAAAGCUCGUCUGUCUGUUUACUGAGAUUCACAAACAACUGGCGGGUGCAUCAGACCUCUGGCUAUUGGUCCAGCCCAGAGUGUAUUAUUACCAAUUGGCCAAUCCACCAACUUUUACGAGGCGUCGCGUGGGGCGGCGCGGACAAGUUGUCCGCAACAACUAGAGGCCAGGAAAAAAAAAAAAAAACA